AAAGAUAUCAUGGAGAAAUCAUGUUGUAUGGUGGGAAAAGCAGUUUGGAGUCAGAAAAGGAGAGAUUAAAUUUUAAGAUAUUUCCUAGACUUUGGACAAAUUAUUUAAUCUCUGUGAACAUUGAUAUUUUUUUUGCUUAAAUUCUUUUAUUGGUACAUUUUAGUUCACCCCAUUGGCCCAGUGCAAAGGCAGACAAGGAGCAGAGUGUUGGAGUGAGAAGAAUGAUGACAGAAGCAGCAAGUGGAUCUCCCCUCAGCCUGGUCUCCACAUGAGGAGGCAGGACACCCUCCAUGGAAACCAUCAAUAAUGGGGAACAUUUUCCAGAGAAGAAUACAUCCAAACCAAACCCAGUAAAUGUUCAGUAACCUUCUGAAACUUCUGUCUUCUGCUGUGUAGAAAGAAGGAUAAUGGAAUUUAUAUUAGAAGGAGUCAGAGGGGAUUAAAAUGGCAAAUGUACAUUUACUGCUGAGCCUGGCUCAUAAAUGGAAGAUUUGAGAAUUGUUUUUCCUAUAAUUUACAAACUUUCCAAAAAAAUACUGUGAUGAAUUAAUAAAAAAUUAACAUUUGACAUUUUCUUACUUCUAAGACUCAUGUGGUGAUUGAAUUGACUGUUGAUUAAAUAAUCCCUGUGGAAAAAACCAAAGUAUUACAUCAUUAAUAU
This 661-nucleotide long non-coding RNA is filed under the name Heterocephalus glaber (naked mole-rat). Its description in RNAcentral is "lncRNA (ENSHGLG00000039861.1)". Lineage: Eukaryota; Metazoa; Chordata; Mammalia; Rodentia; Bathyergidae. The record is from RNAcentral.